Molecule: ribosomal RNA, 465 nt
Filed under: Vreelandella stevensii
Lineage: Bacteria; Pseudomonadati; Pseudomonadota; Gammaproteobacteria; Oceanospirillales; Halomonadaceae
Description: partial 16S ribosomal RNA
Rfam family: Bacterial small subunit ribosomal RNA
Source: RNAcentral
CCUACGGGUGGCAGCAGUGGGGAAUAUUGGACAAUGGGCGAAAGCCUGAUCCAGCCAUGCCGCGUGUGUGAAGAAGGCCUUCGGGUUGUAAAGCACUUUCAGUGGGGAAGAAAGCCUGGGGGCUAAUACCCUCGAGGAAGGACAUCACCCACAGAAGAAGCACCGGCUAACUCCGUGCCAGCAGCCGCGGUAAUACGGAGGGUGCGAGCGUUAAUCGGAAUUACUGGGCGUAAAGCGCGCGUAGGCGGUCUGAUAAGCCGGUUGUGAAAGCCCCGGGCUCAACCUGGGAACGGCAUCCGGAACUGUCAGGCUAGAGUGCAGGAGAGGAAGGUAGAAUUCCCGGUGUAGCGGUGAAAUGCGUAGAGAUCGGGAGGAAUACCAGUGGCGAAGGCGGCCUUCUGGACUGACACUGACGCUGAGGUGCGAAAGCGUGGGUAGCGAACAGGAUUAGAUACCCUGGUAGUC